UCUGGGGGCCCCUUGAGGUAGUUUCUGGGGGCUCCUCGAGGUGGCUUCUGAGCCCCUCGAGGCUGCUUCUGGGGACCCCUCAAGGUGGUGACUUCUGGGGGCCCCUUGAGGUGGCUUCUGGGGACCCCUCGAGGUGGCUUCUGGCAGCCUAACCCACUGUGAUACCCAUAUAGAGAUGUCCUUGCAUGUACCGUCAUGGUUAAUUCUCCCAUUCUUACUCCCCACAUGUAGCCAUCCCUCUUCCAACUCUCCGCACUGGUUCCCCUUUGGGCUGAAAAACAACUGAUUCCCUCUGUGAGCUGUUGAAUCCCUUCACUAAAUUGGUCAAGGGGCCGCAAGAACUUGAGAAUCACAAAGUGGGCAGGGGAUUUGAGAAAUCAUAGCAUGGCCCUCUGAGUGUGGGAUCAGAGAGCUUCCGUCCUAACUCUGCCACUAACUGUCUUCUACUCCUGGCCUCAGUUUCCUGAUCUGUAAAAUGAAAAUAUCGAACUAAAUAACCUGUAGGGUCCCAUUCAAAUCCAGAUUUAGAAUGCUGCACAAUAGAUAAAAAAUGGGAUGGUUGUUAGGGAUAUCAGGGAAGGAUUUUGAAAUUUACAAAGCAAUUUAAAAAAUAACAAUAGUUUUUUAUUUUUCCAUAGUUUUCAACAUUUACCCUUGCAAAAUCUUGUGUUCCAAAUUUUUCUCUCCCCUCCCCUCAGCAAGUAAUCCAAUAUAGGUUAAACACGAGCAGUUCUUCCAAACAUAUUUUCGCAUUUGUCAUGCUGCGCGAGAAAAAUCAGAUCAAAAAGGGAAAAAACCAGGAGAAAGGAAAAAAAAAACAA
Long non-coding RNA from Antechinus flavipes (yellow-footed antechinus), 821 nucleotides. RefSeq lists it as uncharacterized. Lineage: Eukaryota; Metazoa; Chordata; Mammalia; Dasyuromorphia; Dasyuridae. The transcript has 2 exons. The record is from RefSeq and is a predicted model, not a curated record.